AAUCUUUCUCUUUGGCAAGAGACAACGCAGUAGCAUACCUGCGGCUCUGGUUCGCUUCCGGUGCUGGUUCACUUCUGGCGACGUGUGGCUCUAGUUUGUUUCCGGCUUUGGUUCACUUCUGGACGUGCGAUUCUGGUUGCUGUGGCACAAUCAGGUGGAUUGGCCCGUCUUCUAUCACAGUGUGAUUAUGGACAUUUUGAUGAUGAUGAACUGGGAAGGUGAUUGGAGCCUCACUAGACCUUUGUAAGUUGACAAUGUCAUUGCCUAAUAAAUAAGAGCAACCAAUUGAAUAUGGAUAUUAGAAGAGUAUGCUUCAUGCUAUAGAGAAGCAAGAGUUAGGACGAACGAGUACAUGAUCUUUGAUGAUGAAAGUUAUUGUGCAGGAUGAGUACAUUGAGUUUUGCAGAUCUUGUAAUCAAGUUUGAUCUUAAGGUGACUCUUCACAAAGGCCUUAGGCAUGAAUUGAUGUGCAGAACAAAGAGGGUGGGGUUAAAGAGGAAAGGAAUCAAGAAAACAAAAAAUGUUGAUGUGGGUGGUGCUGAAACUUCGUUUGGAGGAAAUGUGUUGGAAUUUGAAGGACAAAAAUGAUGGAUUAGUGUGAGAAGCUCUGCCAUCUCUCUAGAAAUUCCUAAAUUUCUAUGGUUCCAAUAUCUCGUUGAUGACAAAAGUACGGUCACUGUUUAUGGAAGGGGCUUCUUCUAGGGCUCUAGAUAAAGCAAGGGUUUUGACUCUACCUGAGAAAUUGGGUUUAGGGCAAGAUGAACUGGUGGGUAUUUCUAAUAAGGGUGGAUCUUCCAGUAAUCCUAAUAGUGUGAACAUGGGGGGUGAAGGUAGUCUCAGUCCUAGUGCGAAAUCUUUUGUUGUGUCAAUGGAGGGUCUACGAUCGAAGAUUUGAGCGAUGGACUCAGAAGGUUCUGCUUCAGUGUUCAAUUUGCUCCAGUCUAGAUGGUCGGACGUAGUUGAGAUGGAAGGAGGAGAGGAGGCUGUCAUUGAUAGAUUCAAAGACCUUCCUAAUAGCCUGGCUAGGAAUCUGGUAUCUAAACUUAAUCAACAAGAGGUUUCUUCAGGCAAGAUUAGGGGAAAAUCGUAUCUGAGUGCAGAUAUUCCAUGGGCUGCAGGGGCUCAAAGUUCUAGGAGUCGACAAAAGGAAGGUAGAUCGGGAUUAUCUGCUACCAGUAGAUGAGGCAGAGGAGGUCGGGGUCAGGGACCUUACCCAGGUGGACUGAAUAAAUUUCCAGCAGCGGUGAGGGAGGAGAUAGCACCUAAGCCUGUUGAAAAGAGCUAGGCAUCUGUUGUUGCAUUAAAUCAGAGGUCAUUUGUGAAGUUAAGGUACUCUCCUCCCUCUGUAGUGGAAACUAAUAUAGUUAUUGGUCUUCAUAAAAUGGAUGAUAUUGAAAAAUGGGAAGAAACUCUCGUGGGCCAUUUUUUGGCCAAAAAUAUGAAUAUUGCAUAUAUUAGGGUGAACCCUCAAUUGAAUAUAUUUAUACUUCUUGUUUCCUUUUUCUUGUUUUCAUUUAUCUCUGUGUAGCUUGAGGCAAAACACUUUCACACACUGUUUGGUUGUUGAGAAAAAGUUGGGUAAGAAAAGAAACUAUAAUAUGCUCUACUUUCUUUUGGAUUGUUUGGAGGCAGGAACUUUUACUCCUAAGAUAACUACUCUUGAUUAAGUUGAUGUCCUCUUUUUUUUUGUCGCUUAGACAACCAUUUCCAUUUUACUCUCUUUCCCAGGUGGAUUGGUUCUUUUAGAACAACAUUCAACAACCUAAUAAUUAUGUGGUUGUUUGUGUUUUCAUUUUUACUUUCUGGUGUAAGUGUCUCAGAAUUGUUGUUGAUUUAUUCGAACUUCUUUGUUAUGUUUUUCAUGUUUUUUUAACUUUCAUUGAUGACUUGUCUAGUAAAACAGUAGUAAUUCUAAAGAACUUUAUGAUGUUCAUCAUUCCCUCACCAAUAUAUUGUUCUCUCUUAAUUUUUUGUAGUUCUUUCCCCUGAUCUGUCUCUAUCACUUAGUGGAGGGAAAAAUAAGUUGAAACAUUUGUGUUUCGGAGACAUAUUCAGCAUGCCUUAGUAUCCAUUUUCAUAGUCUGGGAUAUUUCUCAAACAUUUUUAGGGUCUUGAGAUGAAGCAGUUAUUUUAGUUCAUUAUCUGGUCCCCAUUUCAAUUAACUAUUCCUCCUAGUUUGCCUAUUAUAUAAUGUUUUUUUUAUGGAUAUUUGCCCAAUUUUUGAGUUGCUUUUUUUUUUUUGGCUGCGUUGGAGGGGAAGUCAAGCAUAUGACCUCCUAGUGAGUGAAUAUUUUUUUUGGAACAUUGAUGGUUUUAAGAUUUGGCAUUUGCAUGUGUAUUACUAGAAAAUCGUUUUAUUGAAGUGUGUGUAUAUAUAUAUAUAUUUAGAAGAUCAUAUAUGCAUGUGUAUUACAGCCUUUUUGCAGGAAUCUUGGUGAUUAAAUCAUUUCCUAGUGGAAAAAGGUUUCUCAUUACUUUCACAUAAGCAUGAUCAAAUGCAUUUGGUGUGUGGUCUUUUUAAAGUGCAAAAUUACAAAUGAUUAGUAGGGCCCCGCUUCAUAUUGGAGCAGUGGUUCAGAGAUGAAAACCUGGUCUGCAUCUUGCUACUGUGGAUUUGAAAGGCAAACCAUAUGAUUCUUGCUGGUUAGAGAGCCAAAGACAAGCAACUUUGCUACUUGGGCAAUUUGCUGCCAUAGAUUCAGACUGUAAAGUGGAAUGAAAUAGUUAAAAUUAAAUUUUAAAUUUUUUGAACACAUCCCAUUCACUGUUAUACAUUCUUAUAGUUUUAUAUAUGAUUUGUGCAGGUGCACAUUGUUCAAAAAGGUGUUGUCCAACAACUAAUUGAGAUGCUUCAAUCCCCACAAGCACCAAUGAGAGAGUCAGCAUUUGCGUUGGGAGGGUGUUUUUGCUUCUUGGCUGAUGGGUGUUUUGUUUCUUGGCUGCUCAGCCAUGCUUAGUUCUUGAUGGUUGAUGCUGGAAUCUGUUAGCAAUGUUUUGGCCAUGUUUCUUAGGUGAAAAAAGAAGUAUUUACUCUGUGGUGGCUGAUGUUGCUGUUGUUUUUUUCUUUUUUGAUAUCCUCUUCCUGCUGCUAUGGGUUGCUGCUGGUAUGUGUGGGCAAUGCUCUUUUUAUCUGGCUACUGUAACUGAUUUUAUUUGUAUGUGUUUAGAUUUGGUUAGAUUUGGCUGCUACUAUGGCUGCUGUUGCUCUGGGUUUUGGUAUGUUUUAGAUUUGGUCACUUCUCUAUCUGUUAAAGGUCAGUUUUCAGGAAUCUGAACAGCUGUGCUUCCUUGCUUGUUCUAUAUGUUUAUCAGACUUUGCAAUCUGCAGGAAGUUCUAGAAAACAGUAAGAAAUUGAAUAGAAACUUUAAAGGACAUAUUCAAAGAAAUUUGAAUCUAUGUUUUUUUGCAUAGUGAAAAGUUGAGCAAUAUUAUUAUGUUAGAUAAAUAAUGUUAAUUAAAAUUAAGCUUUCACACCUUCUGAUAUGAAUGUUUCUUUGAUUGUCAGCUGCUAGUGUGGCUUCUCAAUGGUUGGAACUCCUUCAUCAAGACACUAAAGGGCAUCUUGCUGUUAGUUUAGAAGCAAUACAAAUGGUUAAUGUUCAAUUAUUUGGGACUCGUGGAGCUCACAUCUUAGGGAUAUAAUGAUAUGGGGAUCAGAUAUGUUAGCAACCAAGCGAGGGAAGUCAUGUAGUCGUCUCAUUUCUUUUACCGAGCCAAUGAACCGUCUUGACUUUGAUACAGUAGCAGGUUUAUUUACUUAUUUGGUAGGUUAUAAAUAAUAAUAAAAAAAUUUGUUUGGCCACUUUAUAAAACUCUCUGACUGGAAGAUUUUGUGAUUUGGUGGGUCAAUAUGGGUUCGAUAAUGAAAAAAUUAUUUAUGUCUAUUAUAUUUAGUUCACAUAUGUUGUUACGUUCUUGAGCAUACUGCUUUGAUGUUAUAAUUAGGUUUUAGUGGUUAUCUUUUUCUUUUUCUUUUUCUUUUUCUUUUUUUUUCUUCUCUGUACAUGUGUUUAAGAACUAAGAAGUAAACUAUUGCAAUGGCUACUUGUCAUUCUGUUUGCAAGAUGGCAUAUUUCAUUCUGGCAUUAUCUUUUUGCUGUUAAAAGAUUUUCCUGAAUGCUACUAUCUUGACAAAGUGGCUAUAAUGUGUUCAUUUGGUUUUGUGAUCGGUUAGAUCUUCUGUCAGCUUGUAUGUGUUACACUUUUAUUUUCUUUUUCCAUUUUUUUUGUGUGCUUAUGGAUGUUCUGAUAAUGUCUUCAAUUUACCAAUUAUGUUGGAUGAAAAUCUCCUGCAUGGUUUUUUAACAUGGUCCAUAGCGUCUGACAUAGUUGUAGAGGGAAAAUUCAUUUUGAGCCAUUACUUUUUGUAUUUGCAGCUUCAUUUCAGAAUACACAAGGAACUCAGGAUGAGGCUGAUCCAAAUAAUAUAACUGUGCGUACUUUCUUUUCUUUCUUUUAAUCUCUCAAUUUUUCUUUCUUUUGGAGAGAAUGGGGCUGAUAUGCUUGUAGACAACAAUUUGCAUGGCCAAAUAUUUGUUGGUGGUGUGAAUGAAAGUGUUUCAGAUGACCAACUCAGGUAAGUUUUCAACCCAUAUAGGCAAUUAGUCCAUGGCCAGAUAAUUUAUUUAAUCCAGGCUGCUUAUAAUGUUGGAGGUCAUGUAGUAAGUGCAGUUACAAUACAUAAUUCUAUCCUUGGAUGCCACAUGUCUCAUCCUAGACAGGUAUAUCCCUUGCUAUAGGUUUUGUUUUGAAGCCUUUUUCCGUUCUUGAAGUCCUUGGUGUUUAUUUUGUUAUAGUCUUUGAAGUCAAGCUUUUACUUCUCAUAUCUUUUAUAUAUGAAAAGUAAAAGCUUUUACUACAUCAGAUCAAGCGUGUUAUACGAUAUUAAGAUUCCUAUUAGAUUGAAGGGACAAUUUUGUGGGACUGUUACUAGGCUUGUUAUGAUGUAUAUUGUAUUGAAUAUUGGCAGUUAAGAAAUAACAUGUUUAGUAAACAAAAUAAGUUGAAAUGAGAAUGUUUGGAUGGAUGAGUGGUGUGACAAGAAAUGAUUCCUCAAGAAACAUUUUUGUCCCUGAGUUGUUAGUUUUUGUACUAAUGUGAAAUUUUCUUUGUCAUGCAGACAAGAAAUGCAACAGGGUUAGUUGCUCCAGCUAUUGCUGUGGGUUUAGGUGCCUUAACACAUACAUUGGGCACCCUCGUCCCUGUGAUAGGAGCAAGUGGAUUUGCUACAGCUUCAGCAGCAACUGUUAUAGGAACUGUUGUCGGUAGUUUUAGAUAAUCUCUUAAUAGUUGUCGAUAUGUUUAGAAAGUUAGAUAUGUAUAGUUUUGGAUGGUUUAAACUUUUUGUACCGUUUAGAACUUAAGGAUAUAGUUUUCGAAUGUUUGGAAUGUGUAGAUAAUUGUUGAAUGUUUAUAAUUUAUAGAUAUAGGUUCUUUGUGAUGUUUCAAAUAAUAUUUUGGUGGUUGAUUGAUGUUUUGUGAAUG
Non-coding RNA from Camellia sinensis, 5485 nucleotides. NCBI's taxonomy places the organism in Eukaryota, Viridiplantae, Streptophyta, Magnoliopsida, Ericales, Theaceae. The record is from RefSeq and is a predicted model, not a curated record.